CGGACGGGUGAGUAAUGCCUAGGAAUCUGCCUGGUAGUGGGGGACAACGUUUCGAAAGGAACGCUAAUACCGCAUACGUCCUACGGGAGAAAGCAGGGGACCUUCGGGCCUUGCGCUAUCAGAUGAGCCUAGGUCGGAUUAGCUAGUUGGUGAGGUAAUGGCUCACCAAGGCGACGAUCCGUAACUGGUCUGAGAGGAUGAUCAGUCACACUGGAACUGAGACACGGUCCAGACUCCUAAGGGAGGCAGCAGCG
This 254-nucleotide ribosomal RNA is filed under the name uncultured Pseudomonas sp. RNAcentral's name for it is "partial 16S ribosomal RNA". It matches the Rfam family "Bacterial small subunit ribosomal RNA", at positions 99 to 356 of the family's 1533-position model. Lineage: Bacteria; Pseudomonadati; Pseudomonadota; Gammaproteobacteria; Pseudomonadales; Pseudomonadaceae. The record is from RNAcentral.